AUUGAACGCUGGCGGCAGGCUUAACACAUGCAAGUCGAGCGGAAACGAUGGUAGCUUGCUACCAGGCGUCGAGCGGCGGACGGGUGAGUAAUACUUAGGAAUCUACCUAGUAGUGGGGGAUAGCUCGGGGAAACUCGAAUUAAUACCGCAUACGACCUACGGGAGAAAGGGGGCAGUUUACUGCUCUCGCUAUUAGAUGAGCCUAAGUCGGAUUAGCUAGAUGGUGGGGUAAAGGCCUACCAUGGCGACGAUCUGUAGCUGGUCUGAGAGGAUGAUCAGCCACACCGGGACUGAGACACGGCCCGGACUCCUACGGGAGGCAGCAGUGGGGAAUAUUGGACAAUGGGGGAAACCCUGAUCCAGCCAUGCCGCGUGUGUGAAGAAGGCCUUUUGGUUGUAAAGCACUUUAAGCAGUGAAGAAGACUCCGUGGUUAAUACCCACGGACGAUGACAUUAGCUGCAGAAUAAGCACCGGCUAACUCUGUGCCAGCAGCCGCGGUAAUACAGAGGGUGCAAGCGUUAAUCGGAAUUACUGGGCGUAAAGGGAGCGUAGGUGGCUCGAUAAGUCAGAUGUGAAAUCCCCGGGCUCAACCUGGGAACUGCAUCUGAUACUGUUGAGCUAGAGUAUGUGAGAGGAAGGUAGAAUUCCAGGUGUAGCGGUGAAAUGCGUAGAGAUCUGGAGGAAUACCGAUGGCGAAGGCAGCCUUCUGGCAUAAUACUGACACUGAGGCUCGAAAGCGUGGGUAGCAAACAGGAUUAGAUACCCUGGUAGUCCACGCCGUAAACGAUGUCUACUAGUCGUUGGGUCCCUUGAGGACUUAGUGACGCAGCUAACGCAAUAAGUAGACCGCCUGGGGAGUACGGCCGCAAGGUUAAAACUCAAAUGAAUUGACGGGGGCCCGCACAAGCGGUGGAGCAUGUGGUUUAAUUCGAUGCAACGCGAAGAACCUUACCUGGUCUUGACAUAUCUAGAAUCCUGCAGAGAUGCGGGAGUGCCUUCGGGAAUUAGAAUACAGGUGCUGCAUGGCUGUCGUCAGCUCGUGUCGUGAGAUGUUGGGUUAAGUCCCGCAACGAGCGCAACCCUUGUCCUUAGUUACCAGCGGGUUAAGCCGGGAACUCUAAGGAUACUGCCAGUGACAAACUGGAGGAAGGCGGGGACGACGUCAAGUCAUCAUGGCCCUUACGACCAGGGCUACACACGUGCUACAAUGGUAGGUACAGAGGGCAGCUACACAGCGAUGUGAUGCGAAUCUCAAAAAGCCUAUCGUAGUCCAGAUUGGAGUCUGCAACUCGACUCCAUGAAGUAGGAAUCGCUAGUAAUCGCGGAUCAGAAUGCCGCGGUGAAUACGUUCCCGGGCCU
RNAcentral lists this ribosomal RNA (1360 nucleotides) under uncultured bacterium. RNAcentral describes it as "bacterial SSU rRNA". It matches the Rfam family "Bacterial small subunit ribosomal RNA", at positions 28 to 1381 of the family's 1533-position model. The record is from RNAcentral.